CGAGGCAGCGACCUAAGGUAGGGUCAGCGAUUGGGGUGAAGUCGUAACAAGGUAGCCGUAGGAGAACCUGCGGCUGGAUCACCUCCUUUCUA
RNAcentral lists this ribosomal RNA (92 nucleotides) under Clostridium butyricum. RNAcentral describes it as "partial 16S ribosomal RNA". It matches the Rfam family "Bacterial small subunit ribosomal RNA", at positions 1445 to 1533 of the family's 1533-position model. The record is from RNAcentral. Lineage: Bacteria; Bacillati; Bacillota; Clostridia; Eubacteriales; Clostridiaceae.